This 353-nucleotide ribosomal RNA is filed under the name uncultured bacterium. Its description in RNAcentral is "bacterial SSU rRNA". It matches the Rfam family "Bacterial small subunit ribosomal RNA", at positions 70 to 422 of the family's 1533-position model. The record is from RNAcentral.
CAUUCUCUAGCUUGCUAGAGAGAUGGCGAGUGGCGAACGGGUGAGUAACGCGUAGGAAUAUACCUUGAAGAGUGGGACAACUUGGGGAAACUCAAGCUAAUACCGCAUAAUAUCUUAGGAUGAAAGCUGGGGACCUUCGGGCCUGGCGCUUUAAGAUUAGCCUGCGUACGAUUAGCUAGUUGGUAGGGUAAGGGCCUACCAAGGCGACGAUCGUUAGCUGGUCUGAGAGGAUGGCCAGCCACACUGGAACUGAGACACGGUCCAGACUCCUACGGGAGGCAGCAGUGGGGAAUAUUGGACAAUGGGGGCAACCCUGAUCCAGCAAUGCCGCGUGUGUGAAGAAGGCCUGAGGG